GCUGCAAAUCUGAUAAUAAGGAAGGAUCCAAAUGAUACAGAAAAGCAUAUACUGCAGAGGCAUGGAACUUGUGUAGAUACAUGAAUAACUAGCUGCUGCAUUUAGUCAGUUGUCAAACAUCACGAGUUAAGACAGAAUUUGCAAAUAGAUAGGAUAGAGUCCUACAGGAAAUAGCAUUAAAAUUGCAAUUGGGAUAAGCGUAGCAAUGUCGGUCAGUGUUCUCUUCAACUUCCUUCUUUCCCUCCUUGACAAUCUAUGGCCGCGUAAUUGCUUUAAUAGUAGUUCCAAACCAUCCAUGAUGUCUACAAAGAGCAAUUGGGUU
RNAcentral lists this unclassified non-coding RNA (322 nucleotides) under Hevea brasiliensis (rubber tree). The record is from RNAcentral. Lineage: Eukaryota; Viridiplantae; Streptophyta; Magnoliopsida; Malpighiales; Euphorbiaceae.